CGCGCCCCGCUGCCGCUGGGCCGGGCAGGGCGGCGGCGGCCGCUCCGCUGCCAAGGCGGAGCAGUGCGGGCACGGCGUCAGGAAUGGCUCCGGCAGCGACCGGUGGGAUCCUGCCGACUGCGCCAUCGCUGGGCCUGACGGGUGACUGGCUGGGCAGCAGCUCCGCUCUCGAUGGAGAGGUUCCCGGGGUUUUGUCAAGCCAUGGCUUACAGACAACUACUUUGACAACUAAAACGGAUGGCAGUGAUGGCAAGGCUGAACACCUAGAGUAUAUUGCCUUUGCUUUGGUUCCUGUUUUCUUCAUCAUGGGUCUCUUGGGGAUCCUUAUCUGCCAUGUCCUUAAGAAAAAAGGAUAUCGUUGUACAACAGAGGCUGAAGAAGUAGAAGAAGAAAAACUUGAUGAAAAAAUAGAAAUGAAUGAAUCUAUGCAUGAGAAUAGUGACACUGUGGGACAAAUUGUUAACUACAUCAUGAAAAAUGAAGCAAAUGCUGAUGUGUUAAAGGCCAUGGUAGCAGAUAGCAGUGUCUUUGAACCUGAAAGCCCAUUAUCUCCUACCUCUCCUGAGAGUCCAGUGAGUCCGGGGACUCCUUUGUCACCGGGUGUUGUUCCGUUCAGACACAGCUGCAAAGGCCAUCACUUCCAUACUGUUGGAGGAGUGGUAGAAAAGGAUGUUUGUACUCGCUGUAGUCACAAACGAUGGCACCUUAUAAAACCAGCUCAAAAAUCUAAAGAGAACAGAAGAAGUCGUAUUGGAGAAGUUACAGUCCUUUCUGUGGGAAGAUUUCGAGUCACCAAAGUGGAUCACAAGUCAAACUCCAAAGAACGGAAAAGCUUGAUGUCUGUUACUGGCGUGGAGAGUGUCAAUGGUGAGAUGCCUGCCACACCUGCGAAACAGGAAGUGAGUGAAGCACCUGCCUCACCUGUGAAACAGGAAAUGCAAGAGAGGAGAAGCUCGGAGUAAAAUGCAGAUCUGUGGAGCUUUGACUAAUGGCAAUGGAGAGACAUGAAACUCUGGUCUCACAGGGAUCUAACUAAGCCAGGCGGUUGGGGUUUUCUUGUGGAACUUUUAUAAGAAGAUUGUCUGCAAGCACUUUGGAGAAAAUCGAAAACUUGCAAGAGAUGCACACUAUUUAAGGAAAUGUAUUUAUGGCAGUGUAGGAUUUUACAAGUUCUGUGAUGUCAUUCUUGCAAGGUUAAAUACUUCAUGGUUUUUGACCAGUAAAAUAGUAAGAUUUAGGCACUUAAAUACUGUUGAACUGUGUGGACAUCAUAACGAAUGGCUUCAUCUUGGAAAGAAAACAAACAUACAAGUUUUUGGACAGGAAAGGUAAAAGCUUUAUCAAGUCUUAAACUUUUUUUGUACUUAGACAAGCAUUUUUAAUGAGCUCAAUGUCAAGAGUAAUACAGUUACGUCGUGGAUAAACUGCAUUCACCCCAGUGGUCCAUCUGGAUUUUUCUCUGUUCUGCCCACUCCAGAAUUGACAAGUGUUUGCUGAAGAUAAAAGCCAGCCUUUGAAAGAUGAAAAUAUUCUUUUAAUCUGUUUGUACUUGUUUGUAGUCAAGUAAAACAUACAAGGAAAUAAUUAUGUCAGCCAAAUCUCCAUAUGUGCCUUUAGUACAUAAGACCUCGAACUCUAUGCAGGGUACUUCACAGUAGAGACUGGUUCAAUUAUAUGCAGAUUAAAUUAAAUUAAAUUGUUGUUCCCCAGACCCAUACCUCUGCCUUACUACUUAACAUAGGCUGAAGAGCAUCUUUUCCUAUGCAGUUGGAUGAGCUCUUGGUGAGGUUACUUUCCUCAAGGCCUUUUGUUCUCCUGUUUUCUUGUAACUGCUCACUCGUAUUUGAAGAGUGCCUAAUAGUUUUGCUUUUCUUUUUUUGUUCUUACCCACAGGUUCCUUAUUAAGCUAAGGCAACAUAUUUCAACCCUUAGAUAAGGAUAUGGAAUAUUUGGCAUUAAAAAAUUUAUGGAAUAUAUACUAAAGUGCUUCAGAGUGGCUUUAUUGGACUGAGGGUAGCUGUAUUCAUUGGCACCGAAAUCUUAACCCACUGUUACUCCCUUCAUAUUUUAAGUGUGACUUAAGGCUAAAAUUACCAUGAUAUUUGAUGUUAAUUCUUUGUAUCUACUUACGAUCUCUGCUUUGUCCUGUUACUUGUUUUGGGGAGGGAAAUCUCUGUAAUACUUCAGCAAACUUUUCUGUGUAAUAGAAACUGAAAAAGAUCAAUUGUUCUGAGUGCCUCAGAAUAUAAGCUCUAAUGUAAUGCAUUUUAGUAGAGAUUGCACUAUAUUCUGAGAACUGUAACUUAGUCUACUUUAUGAACUCAAUGAAAAUAAGUGUAUGUUUUUGAAAUGGAUUUAUUUUAAAUCGAUACCUUCAGUCUUUUUAAUGCAAGUGCUCUAAACUGUGUUUCUCCUUCAUAUCUAAGAAUUGUGUUUCUUCAUUGAUUUGUGCAGUGUUUAACAAUCAGUGUGUACAAAAUUGCUCUUCUUGCUUGUGUAUUAGUUACUCCCAUGUCUUGCCAGGAAACAUCAAGCUUUUUCACUCUUGCUGAAAGUAUGAGCUGCUGAUGGUCUUCCUUCUAUAUGUAUCCCCAAGAUACUGACUGGACCUAUCAAUAUGUGCUUUUCAGCGAUGUUACAUUUGCCAAAAAAACCCACCACUACGCAACCAAACUUUGAAAAUAAUAAAUGUUUUAUUGUUCUUUUUGAAAUGGAUAUUUUUAGAGAUAAUUGUCUGUCCUUGAGAACCCAAAAUAACUGUUUGGCCAGGACUCUAACUUCAGUGUUUAGCAUCCCUGUUCCCAUAAAUUUAAACUCAGUUUGUGAAAUCUCUUCAGUAUUUAAGUACAAUAUAAACACCAACCUCAUCUUAUAGGCAUACAUUAAGCUUCGCGUGAUUAUUUGUGUGAAGAACACCUCUAGAAGAUUUAAUUAGUAUUGGUUGUAGUAAUUAGCUUUCAGUUUCCAAGAGAUUGAUAGCUGUGAGUAUAAAAUGUUACUGAAAAAAGGGAGCAUUGGAGAAAACAGUGGUUUUCAAAUAAUUUUCAGAAAGAAGAUACACAGUUACAGACUGUCCCCAAAGCUUUUUCUAAAAAAAGAGCAGUUUCUCUUGAUACUGUAUUUUGCUACGUGAUGGGUUAGUACUGCAAAUAAAUGUCAAAAGGAUGUCAGAAAGUUUAAACAGUAAUAUGUAUUUUUUUACUUAUUUUAAUAAGUAGUUUCUGUUUUGAUUCCAUUGAAAAUGCGUAGAAUAAAAGGGAUGUUGGAUAUGUAAAAAGUUGUUUACGUGUAUAAAGUAAUUAUGUAAGGUAUUAUAAGACCUGAUAUGUGCAAGAAUUGAAUUUAUGCAUUGCUACCUAAGAGAGGAUUUAGAAACUGUGCCUGUUUUAUUGCCUUUAACACUACACUGCUAUUUUGUAGGGAUAUGGAUAUUGCCAUAUUAGUCUGCUUUUCCUAAAUUUGCAUAUCAAAUGUAUUUUUAACAAAAUAGUUUAUAUACAACUUUUAUACUACCAAGCAGUAAAUAAAAAAUAUUGAUUCUUAA
Molecule: RNA transcript, 3544 nt
Organism: Corvus hawaiiensis (hawaiian crow)
Lineage: Eukaryota; Metazoa; Chordata; Aves; Passeriformes; Corvidae
Gene: RELL1
Gene name: RELT like 1
Exons: 8
Source: RefSeq, a predicted model, not a curated record